GUCAAUGGCCGUACCACCCUGAAUGUGGCCGAACUCAUCUGAUCUCGGAAGCUAAGCGGGGUCGGGUCUGGUUAGCACUUGCAUGGGAGAAGUGCCUAGAAGAUGGGCA
Molecule: non-coding RNA, 109 nt
Organism: Heterocephalus glaber (naked mole-rat)
Lineage: Eukaryota; Metazoa; Chordata; Mammalia; Rodentia; Bathyergidae
Source: Rfam